CAGUUUGAGAACUCGUGCGAGGUCGGGGUGUUCGCGAGGCUCACCAACGCCUACUGCCUCGUCCCGGCCGGUGGGGCGGAGAAUUUCACCAGUGUGUUUGAGGCCGAGCUCGCCGACACCGUCCCGGUGGUCAAGGCAUCCAUCGGCGGCAUGAGGAUCCUCAGGACAUUGUGCGUGGGCAACAAGAAGGGCCUUCUUCUACCACACACCACUAACGACCAAGAGCUCCAGCACCUCAAGAAUAGCCUGCCUGAUGAGGUGGUCGUCCAGCGUGUCGACGAGCGGCUCUCCGCCCUCGGCAACUGCAUUGCCUGCAACGACCACGUGGCUCUCACAAAACCAGAUCUCACCAAGGAAACCGAGGAGAUCAUCUCGGACGUUCUUGGGGUGGAGGUGUUCAGGCAGACCAUCGCAGGGAGCAUCCUGGUCGGCAGCUCCUGCGCCUUCUCCAACAAAGGGGGACUUGUUCACCCGCAGACGUCGGUGGAGGACCUGGACGAGCUGUCGACGCUGCUGCAGGUGCCCCUCGUCGCCGGCACCGUCAACCGGGGGAGCGAUGGCAUCGCGGCCGGCAUGGUGGUCAACGACUGGGCGGCCUUCUGCGGUUCCGACACCACGGCCACCGAGCUCUCAGUGGUGGAGAGCGUCUUCAGGCUGAGGGACGCCCGGCCGGGGGCAUUGGGCGCCGACGUCAGGAAAUCCUUGGUUGAAAGCUGCUUUCUUCAGGGGAAUUUUGCCUUCCCUUGCUGUAUCUGUGUUUGUCAUGAAAUAUUCUCAACUAGUACUCCCUCCGUAAACAAACAAGUAAUGUAA
RNAcentral lists this ribosomal RNA (813 nucleotides) under Triticum aestivum (bread wheat). RNAcentral's name for it is "partial small subunit ribosomal RNA". Lineage: Eukaryota; Viridiplantae; Streptophyta; Magnoliopsida; Poales; Poaceae. The record is from RNAcentral.